AUGCAAACUUCUCUUUGUUCCUCUCACUUUCAUUCUCAAUUCUUUCUCUCUCUAAAAUCUUCAGAACCCUUCAUCACACACCAGAUCAAUUGCAAAUUCAUCAUCAAUUUUUAUCAGAUCUCUGCGCAUCUUCAUCGUCCACAACUUUCAACACAUACUCUCAUUGACCUCUGCAUUAACAACACUGCAUUAUCUUUUCCAUAUCACUUCUCUGCAUCAAAUCCAUAA
Non-coding RNA from Vicia faba (fava bean), 228 nucleotides. The record is from the annotation of a GenBank genome assembly. NCBI's taxonomy places the organism in Eukaryota, Viridiplantae, Streptophyta, Magnoliopsida, Fabales, Fabaceae.